CUCGCAUGAGAGAAGAUGGAAAGACGGUUUACGCUGUCACUUAUAGAUGGGCCCGCGGCGCAUUAGCUAGUUGGUGAGGUAAUGGCUCACCAAGGCGACGAUGCGUAGCCGACCUGAGAGGGUGAUCGGCCACACUGGGACUGAGACACGGCCCAGACUCCUACGGGAGGCAGCAGUAGGGAAUCUUCCGCAAUGGACGAAAGUCUGACGGAGCAACGCCGCGUGAACGAAGAAGGCCUUCGGGUCGUAAAGUUCUGUUGUUAGGGAAGAACAAGUACCAGAGUAACUGCUGGUACCUUGACGGUACCUAACCAGAAAGCCACGGCUAACUACGUGCCAGCAGCCGCGGUAAUACGUAGGUGGCAAGCGUUGUCCGGAAUUAUUGGGCGUAAAGCGCGCGCAGGUGGUUCCUUAAGUCUGAUGUGAAAGCCCACGGCUCAACCGUGGAGGGUCAUUGGAAACUGGGGAACUUGAGUGCAGAAGAGGAAAGUGGAAUUCCAAGUGUAGCGGUGAAAUGCGUAGAGAUUUGGAGGAACACCAGUGGCGAAGGCGACUUUCUGGUCUGUAACUGACACUGAGGCGCGAAAGCGUGGGGAGCAAACAGGAUUAGAUACCC
This 616-nucleotide ribosomal RNA is filed under the name bacterium. RNAcentral describes it as "bacterial SSU rRNA". It matches the Rfam family "Bacterial small subunit ribosomal RNA", at positions 185 to 787 of the family's 1533-position model. The record is from RNAcentral.